This 511-nucleotide small RNA is filed under the name Histoplasma capsulatum var. duboisii H88. RNAcentral describes it as "Histoplasma capsulatum H88 hypothetical RNA". Lineage: Eukaryota; Fungi; Ascomycota; Eurotiomycetes; Onygenales; Ajellomycetaceae. The record is from RNAcentral.
AUCUAUCUAUCUACAUCUCUACCUACCAACCAACCAACCUUCCUGCUCAAUAUUGAACCAAUCUCUAUGAGAAUAAACAUCACCAUCUAGCUACCCACCUAGCUAUCAAUGCUAGUUUACUAGCUGACUACCUGACUACCUGCCUAUCUAUCUUCUGACCUACUGGAAUGAACGAUAUCUAGCAACAAUAUCUAGCGAUGAUAUCUAGCGAUGUGACUUCGCGCUUUCGCUCCGUUCUGCCCAGCUGCAUGUUUCAUGAAGCUCCUGCUAUAAAGUGUUGUGCCUGAGCUGUCCAACCCUUCGAAGCAUUAAUGAUGUCUUUCAUCCCCUGGGAUUUAGAGGAAUAUUAGCAAGGAGUACAAUAAAAAGUAGAUAGUAGUUAAUCACCAAGAGAAGAAAGAGAAGAGAAAGAAGAUGUAAGUAGAUGUGAGAAUAUAUAUAUCUAUAUAUAUAUAGAAAUAAUUGCAGUGAGAACAUAAUAAGGGAAGAAUAAACAAAGUAUAUAAGGAAA